Long non-coding RNA from Equus caballus (horse), 1705 nucleotides. NCBI's taxonomy places the organism in Eukaryota, Metazoa, Chordata, Mammalia, Perissodactyla, Equidae. The record is from Ensembl.
UGUGGGCGUAUGGUGGACACCUCCCUCCCCCUGAGAACAAUGGUAAAAGAUUAAUGGAUUAAAAAGCCCAAGCUUUCUGCAUGGUUGGCAGGGAGGUGUUGCACAAAUGCACAGAGCAGCUCCUUGUGCUCGGGGGCCGUUCCUUCAUGCUCUUGCUCAGCUCUGUCUGCUGUGUCUCAAAGCCUAGAACAUGUAGCCACCCUGCGUCAGGAGACGCUGCCCACAUGCACCACCCCAGCAGAGGAAGGGAGCCGUGCCCAGGUCCGGAGACUGCUGAGCUGUGGCAUGACGACAGGGAGGGAGCCCAGCUCAAGCCGACAAAAGCAGGUGAGGCAAUCAACCUGUGGAGCAGCCAAAGGUAAAAAGAAAAGGUGAAAAACUUAGAAAGAGGGGAGGAGUAAAAACGGAACUACACACGUUUGGAACAGGACAUUUGGAAAGGACUCCUGCUGGGAAGAACAUUUUGAGGGUGCGCCCAUCCAAAGUCUCACCAUUUUCAGCUGGGGCUGAAUUUAAGGCGACAAUCCCAGGGAAGAUCUGCAGCCACGUGUCUUCUCAAACCCAAAAGGGGACCAGAGUCUGAUCAAGUCAUUCUUCUUCAAACCCUUUGGUGACUCUCCAGCUGCUCUUAGGACAAAGACUAAGUUCCUUCUCAAGGCCUUCCAGGCCCUGCAGAUCUGUCCUUACUCAUCUCUCCAUGCCUCCUGACUCACCACAUUCCGGCCACCCUGACCUUCUGCCGCUGUCUUGAGCAUGCUGCCUCCUCUGCCAAGAAUAGGCCCCUCUCCCGGCCCUUCACUGCCUAACCCCUUCAGGUCCCAACGGAAGUGUCAUUCUCUUAAGGAAGAUUUACUGCACUUCCAGACUGGAUGAGGUUCCCUAGUCAUAUGAUCUCAUGGAAACCUCUGCUUUUCUUCAUAGACAUCAUAUUGUUAUGAACUCAUUAUUUUUGUGAUUCCAUUUAAUGUCUAUCCCUUCUAGACAUUAAGUUUCAUGAGGGCAGUGACCCUGUCAUCCUUUCUCAUGGCUGACAGUCCCUGGAGCUUAGCGGGACUGGGCAUAGAAGCUUGCUUCAUAAAUAUUUGUUGGAUGGAUAAGUGGAGUAGUGGGCGGAUAGAUGCUGUUUUAGUCUAGUGGCGCCCAGUUUGGAUCUCUGCAAGAUCCCUCUGGGGAAUGUGGGUCAUUCUGAGAGACAGAUGGGUUACAAACAGCAAUACUCUGAAGAGUAGAGGACAAAUAAAAUGUAUUGACGGAAGGAAGGCCUUCUCACCACAUUCACAGGGUUUGUCAGCACUCAGGCAACUCCCUCAACAAAGGACACACAUACACUGCCAGUGGUGGAGAUGAAAUAACCCCAGGGCAAGGGCUGCCCUCCCCUGAGAGGCUGGCCCUCCCCUGUCCAAUACAGUAUAGCCACUAGCCACAUGUGGCUAUCAAGCCCUUGAAAUGUGGCCAGUGUGACCAAGGAACUGAUUUUUAAAUGUUAUUUCAUUCUGUGAUUGACAUUGAAGUUUAAAAACUAAUCCUUAAUUUGGUUAUUAGAAAAAAUUAGUAUGUUUGGAACAACUUGGCUAGGUGAAACUACUUUUUCCACUGUAAAUUUUAGGAAGUCUAAAUGUGGAUUAGGUAUUUCUUAAUGAAAAUUUGGCACCCUAUUUGAAGUGUAGCAUAUACCAAAUUUCAAAGACAGUACCCAAAAAAGGCA